Numida meleagris (helmeted guineafowl) is the source of this 1012-nucleotide long non-coding RNA. RefSeq lists it as uncharacterized. The transcript is spliced from 3 exons. The record is from RefSeq and is a predicted model, not a curated record. NCBI's taxonomy places the organism in Eukaryota, Metazoa, Chordata, Aves, Galliformes, Numididae.
AAAGAGAUGUGGCUGUCCAAAUCCUUUCAAUUUUCAUUAUAGUUCAACAGUUGGGAAAUAUUCAUCUCCAAAUGUGUAUGGUGAAGUAGAGUCGAAAUGUUGUGCACUGGUCCAGGCAAAUACAAAAUUAGCAACAGCUAAAGAGAAUCUAGAAACAAUCUUGAAAAAGCUUAUUAUUGAACAGAAGACUGUGUUUACAAGCAAGCACCCAUGGAGCACUUCUGAGGGAUUAUUUGUGGAUGGUUGUUAAUUAUUCUUCUAAUGGAGUAUCUGCAACACAAAGCGCUCUUGAAACAAACAAAGACACCUUUGGUACCUUGGGAGAUGGUGGGUGGAAGGAGUUCCUCUGCUGCAAGCUAAUUACCCUGACUUAUCAAACAAGACUUUAAACGAUUCAAAAGAUGUGGCAUUAACUGAGUUUAGAAGACUUGGGUUGACUCUUUUUUCUUGUGAGUAUUUAGAUCUGGAAUCUCACAACUUAAGUUAUCAAGCAAUAAAUGAAGGCUAGUCAAUUCCAUAAUGUGGGGAUUGUUCUCCCUGUUUUCUUUUAAGGUAUCAAUUUAAGAGAAUGAAAAAGAUUUGCUUUUAUUGAAACUCUUAGAAACCUGUGGAUUAUGGUAUCUGAAAGUUUCAUUCUUUCUUUCAGCAAUUCCCAGUUAGUCCUCCUGCUCUCAUAGUAGCCAGCUUUUCCUAUUCUGGAGUUGCAGAUUUAAUGGUUACACAAAGAUAACAUUCAUCUCUCUUCUUCUACUGGCCCUCUCUGCCCCUCACUCCCCAAAUCCCACCAGAUGGUACAACACAUAUCUUUGCUUACUUGUGAUAUAGCCCUCAUGCAACCUAUUCAGAUUAAAGCAGAUCUACCCUAAUGAAUGUGGUAUCUACAUUAAAAAAUAUCUGGAUUGAAAAGUCAUUUUUAUUACUGCACAUACCUAUGCCAAUGGAUGUCUAUUAAAUUCAAAUACUUUUUGGACAAAAUUGCCUUUAUUUUUUAUUAUUAAUUUUAAUACACAGC